Molecule: ribosomal RNA, 253 nt
Filed under: uncultured bacterium
Lineage: Bacteria
Description: partial 16S ribosomal RNA
Rfam family: Bacterial small subunit ribosomal RNA
Source: RNAcentral
GACAGAGGGGGCAAGCGUUGCUCGGAAUCACUGGGCGUAAAGGGCGCGUAGGCGGGAUGGCAAGUCGGUCGUGAAAUCUCUCGGCUCAACCGAGAAACGUCGGCCGAUACUGCCGUUCUUGAGGGAUGCAGAGGAGACUGGAAUUCCCGGUGUAGCGGUGAAAUGUGUAGAGAUCUGGAGGAACACCGAUGGCGAAGGCAGCCUUCUGGGCCAACACUGACGCUCAUGCACGAAAGCGUGGGGAGCAAACAGG